UUACAUUCUCAGGGCGGGGUGAAAUUCCCCACCGGCGGUGAAGAGGCAUCUCUGGAUGCCACAAAGCCCGCGAGCGCCUGCGAGCAUGGUUUUGCGCAGGGUCAGCAGAUCCGGUGAUCCCGUUAACGGGUAUUCCGGAGCCGACGGUGUUGUCCUGGUGCAGGAAUUCAUCCCUGUCAGCCAGGCUCAGUCCGGAUGGGAGAGAAUGGUC
RNAcentral lists this non-coding RNA (211 nucleotides) under Shewanella amazonensis. RNAcentral's name for it is "FMN sequence". It matches the Rfam family "FMN riboswitch aptamer (RFN element)". From Rfam's summary of the family: The RFN element is a highly conserved domain that is found frequently in the 5'-untranslated regions of prokaryotic mRNAs that encode for flavin mononucleotide (FMN) biosynthesis and transport proteins. This element is a metabolite-dependent riboswitch that directly binds FMN in the absence of proteins. The record is from RNAcentral. RNAcentral also lists the same sequence under 1 other name. Lineage: Bacteria; Pseudomonadati; Pseudomonadota; Gammaproteobacteria; Alteromonadales; Shewanellaceae.